AUUGAACGCUGGCGGCAUGCUUUACACAUGCAAGUCGAACGGCAGCGCGGGCUUCGGCCUGGCGGCGAGUGGCGAACGGGUGAGUAAUGCAUCGGAACGUGCCCAGUAGUGGGGGAUAGCCCGGCGAAAGCCGGAUUAAUACCGCAUACGACCUGAGGGUGAAAGCGGGGGACCGAAAGGCCUCGCGCUAUUGGAGCGGCCGAUGUCGGAUUAGCUAGUUGGUGGGGUAAAGGCUUACCAAGGCGACGAUCCGUAGCUGGUCUGAGAGGACGACCAGCCACACUGGGACUGAGACACGGCCCCGAGUCCCACGGGAGGCAGCAGUGGGGAAUUUUGGACAAUGGGGGCCACCCUGAUCCAGCCCUGGCCGGUGGCGGAAGAAGGCCUUCGGGUUUUUAAACCCUUUUGUUUGGGAAGAAAUCCUCUGGGCCAAUACCCCGGGGGGAUGACGGUACCGGAAGAAUAAGCACCGGCUAACUACGUG
Molecule: ribosomal RNA, 484 nt
Filed under: uncultured bacterium
Lineage: Bacteria
Description: partial 16S ribosomal RNA
Rfam family: Bacterial small subunit ribosomal RNA
Source: RNAcentral